Triticum dicoccoides is the source of this 705-nucleotide long non-coding RNA. RefSeq lists it as uncharacterized. The record is from RefSeq and is a predicted model, not a curated record. NCBI's taxonomy places the organism in Eukaryota, Viridiplantae, Streptophyta, Magnoliopsida, Poales, Poaceae. The transcript has 2 exons.
AGACGAUGCCACCCACGCACCAUCGAUGCCCUGCAGCUGACUGCUUCGGCGUUCUUCCACGCGAGCGAGCAGAGGCACCCCAUGGCGCCUCCUCCUCUCCUUCUCUUGGCGCGCGAAGACCUCGACGGAGCCACCUCCAUCGCGUCAUCGAUCUGGCCGCCGCCUCACCUGCGGCUCGAUCUUAUCUGGGAGAGAUGGUGAGGGGUGGGGGUGGCGGAGUAAGGGGAGCCGGAGAGGAAGAUCCGGUGCAGGACUCCCACGCUGCAGACUUGAGGCACCCAACCACGGCCACGUCGACGACUCUGCCUCCUGAAGGAUGACAUCCACCACCUCCCUCCCUGCCGCCCAGAAGUGACGAGGUUGCCGCCUCUCGGCAACUUUCUGUGCUCUCGCAGAAAUUCCCCUUCAGAUAGUGGAGCGCCGUCGCUCCCAUAGUCUUCAGCAUCAGGGCUCCUGAUUCCAUGGCGUGCCUUAGUCUUUUGGCGGGCAUAUUUAAAGUUGAGGGAUCUUUUAUUCCAUUUCAAUUUUCUUUGGAAAUCUUCUGCCGGCUCAAGUGCUCAUGUCAAGGAAUAUAGCUGUAUUUUUCUUGGAUUUUUCAUUUGCCUUGCAAUGCUAAUGGAGAAAAGGCAACAAAAACUAUUCGAGGGAGAGAUUGUUAACGAAUAGAUCAACAAACUAUUUGUCAUGGAAAUUGCUAUUUGGAGA